UACGAAGGGGGCGAGCGUUGUUCGGAUUUACUGGGCGUAAAGGGCGCGCAGGCGGCCAUCUUUGUCAGACGUGAAAGCCCCGGGCUCAACCUGGGAGGUGCGUUUGGGACGGGGUGGCUAGAGAUCGGGAGAGGAGCGUGGAAUUCCCAGUGUAGAGGUGAAAUUCGUAGAUAUUGGGAAGAACUCCGGUGGCGAAGGCGGCGCUCUAGACCGAGACUGACGCUGAGGCGCGAAAGCGUGGGGAGCAAACAGG
This 253-nucleotide ribosomal RNA is filed under the name uncultured bacterium. Its description in RNAcentral is "partial 16S ribosomal RNA". It matches the Rfam family "Bacterial small subunit ribosomal RNA", at positions 524 to 776 of the family's 1533-position model. The record is from RNAcentral.